Molecule: small nucleolar RNA, 107 nt
Organism: Magnolia sinica
Lineage: Eukaryota; Viridiplantae; Streptophyta; Magnoliopsida; Magnoliales; Magnoliaceae
Source: RefSeq, a predicted model, not a curated record
UAGCCAUGACGUGGACAAUAAUUCAAGAGAUCCUUGAAUCUCUCCCAGCAUUGGAAGAAGGUCUCUUCCUCUCUCUGAGAGAAGUUCAUAAUUGCCCUCCUAAGGUG